RNAcentral lists this ribosomal RNA (492 nucleotides) under uncultured bacterium. RNAcentral describes it as "partial 16S ribosomal RNA". It matches the Rfam family "Bacterial small subunit ribosomal RNA", at positions 29 to 507 of the family's 1533-position model. The record is from RNAcentral.
AGUGAGCGCUGGCGGUAGGCCUAACACAUGCAAGUCGAACGGCAGCACAGUAAGAGCUUGCUCUUACGGGUGGCGAGUGGCGGACGGGUGAGGAAUACAUCGGAAUCUACUUUUUCGUGGGGGAUAACGUAGGGAAACUUACGCUAAUACCGCAUACGACCUACGGGUGAAAGCAGGGGAUCUUCGGACCUUGCGCGAUUGAAUGAGCCGAUGCCGGAUUAGCUAGUUGGCGGGGUAAAGGCCCACCAAGGCGACGAUCCGUAGCUGGUCUGAGAGGAUGAUCAGCCACACUGGAACUGAGACACGGUCCAGACUCCUACGGGAGGCAGCAGUGGGGAAUAUUGGACAAUGGGCGCAAGCCUGAUCCAGCCAUACCGCGUGGGUGAAGAAGGCCUUCGGGUUGUAAAGCCCUUUUGUUGGGAAAGAAAAGCAGCAGGUUAAUACCCCGCUGUUCUGACGGUACCCAAAGAAUAAGCACCGGCUAACUUCGUG